This 437-nucleotide ribosomal RNA is filed under the name uncultured bacterium. RNAcentral describes it as "bacterial SSU rRNA". It matches the Rfam family "Bacterial small subunit ribosomal RNA", at positions 29 to 506 of the family's 1533-position model. The record is from RNAcentral.
ACGAACGCUGGCGGCAUGCCUAACACAUGCAAGUCGAACGGAUGGUCGCAAGACCAUUAGUGGCGGACGGGUGCGUAACGCGUGGGAACCUGCCUUGAAGUUCGGAAUAACUGCGGGAAACUGCAGCUAAUACCGGAUGUGGCCUGAGGGCCAAAGGGGAAACUCGCUUCAAGAGGGGCCCGCGUCCGAUUAGCUAGUUGGCGGGGUAACGGCCCACCAAGGCGAUGAUCGGUAGCUGGUCUGAGAGGACGACCAGCCACACUGGAACUGAGAUACGGUCCAGGCUCCUACGGGAGGCAGCAGUGGGGAAUAUUGGACAAUGGGGGCAACCCUGAUCCAGCAAUGCCGCGUGAGUGAUGAAGGCCUUCGGGUUGUAAAGCUCUUUUGGCGGGGACGAUGAUGACGGUACCCGGAGAAUAAGCCCCGGCUAACUUCGU